GACGAACGCUGGCGGCGUGCUUAACACAUGCAAGUCGAACGGAAAGGCCCUGCUUUUGUGGGGUGCUCGAGUGGCGAACGGGUGAGUAACACGUGAGUAACCUGCCCUUGACUUUGGGAUAACUUCAGGAAACUGGGGCUAAUACCGGAUAGGAGCUCCUGCUGCAUGGUGGGGGUUGGAAAGUUUCGGCGGUUGGGGAUGGACUCGCGGCUGAUCAGCUUGUUGGUGGGGUAGUGGCUUACCAAGGCUUUGACGGGUAGCCGGCCUGAGAGGGUGACCGGCCACAUUGGGACUGAGAUACGGCCCAGACUCCUACGGGAGACAGCAGUGGGGAAUAUUGCACAAUGGGCGGAAGCCUGAUGCAGCAACGCCGCGUGCGGGAUGACGGCCUUCGGGUUGUAAACCGCUUUCGCCUGUGACGAAGCGUGAGUGACGGUAAUGGGUAAAGAAGCACCGGCUAACUACGUG
This 468-nucleotide ribosomal RNA is filed under the name uncultured bacterium. RNAcentral describes it as "partial 16S ribosomal RNA". It matches the Rfam family "Bacterial small subunit ribosomal RNA", at positions 28 to 507 of the family's 1533-position model. The record is from RNAcentral.